UGGGGAGUAGCCAAGCUGGCAAGGCACUGGGUUUUGGCCCCAGCAUCCGCAGGUUCGAAUCCUGCCUCCCCAG
This 73-nucleotide transfer RNA is filed under the name Nitrospinota bacterium. RNAcentral describes it as "tRNA-Gln". It matches the Rfam family "tRNA". Rfam says of the family: Transfer RNA (tRNA) molecules are approximately 80 nucleotides in length. Their secondary structure includes four short double-helical elements and three loops (D, anti-codon, and T loops). Lineage: Bacteria; Pseudomonadati; Nitrospinota. RNAcentral also lists the same sequence under 1 other name. The record is from RNAcentral.